This 253-nucleotide ribosomal RNA is filed under the name uncultured bacterium. RNAcentral's name for it is "partial 16S ribosomal RNA". It matches the Rfam family "Bacterial small subunit ribosomal RNA", at positions 524 to 776 of the family's 1533-position model. The record is from RNAcentral.
UACGGAGGGUGCAAGCGUUAUCCGGAUUCACUGGGUUUAAAGGGUGCGUAGGUGGAUUGGUAAGUCAGUGGUGAAAUCUCCGGGCUUAACUCGGAAACUGCCAUUGAUACUAUCAGUCUUGAAUACCGUGGAGGCCAGUAGAAUAUGUCAUGUAGCGGUGAAAUGCUUAGAUAUGACAUAGAAUACCAAUUGCGAAGGCAGCUGGCUACGCGAAUAUUGACACUCAGGCACGAAAGCGUGGGGAGCAAAAGGG